AGUGGCGGACGGGUGAGUAACGCGUGAGAAUCUGCCUUCAGGUCGGGGACAACAGAGGGAAACUUCUGCUAAUCCCGGAUGAGCCUUAGGGUAAAAAAUUUAUUGCCUGGAGAUGAGCUCGCGUCUGAUUAGCUAGUUGGUAAGGUAAAAGCUUACCAAGGCAACGAUCAGUAGCUGGUCUGAGAGGAUGAGCAGCCACACUGGGACUGAGACACGGCCCAGACUCCUACGGGAGGCAGCAGUGGGGAAUUUUCCGCAAUGGGCGAAAGCCUGACGGAGCAAGACCGCGUGGGGGAGGUAGGCUCUAGGGUUGUAAACCCCUUUUCUUUGGGAAGAACAAAAUGACGGUACCAAAGGAAUCAGCCUCGGCUAACUCCGUGCCAGCAGCCGCGGUAAUACGGAGGAGGCAAGCGUUAUCCGGAAUGAUUGGGCGUAAAGCGUCCGCAGGUGGCAAUGUAAGUCUGCUGUCAAAACCCAGGGCUCAACUCUGGUCAGGCAGUGGAAACUACAUAGCUAGAGUUCGGUAGGGGCAAAGGGAAUUCCCGGUGUAGCGGUGAAAUGCGUAGAGAUCGGGAAGAACAUCGGUGGCGAAAGCGCUUUGCUAGACCGAAACUGACACUCAGGGACGAAAGCUAGGGGAGCGAAUGGGAUUAGAUACCCC
Molecule: ribosomal RNA, 661 nt
Filed under: uncultured bacterium
Lineage: Bacteria
Description: bacterial SSU rRNA
Rfam family: Bacterial small subunit ribosomal RNA
Source: RNAcentral